UACGAAGGGGGCUAGCGUUGCUCGGAAUCAUUGGGCGUAAAGGGCGCGUAGGUGGCCCGGUCAGUUCGUGGUGAAAGCGCGGGGCUCAACCCUGCGUCGGCCAUGAAUACUGCCGCGGCUGGAGCACUGUAGAGGCAGGCGGAAUUCCGGGUGUAGCGGUGGAAUGCGUAGAGAUCCGGAAGAACACCGGUGGCGAAGGCGGCCUGCUGGGCAGUUGCUGACACUGAGGCGCGACAGCGUGGGGAGCAAACAGG
This 254-nucleotide ribosomal RNA is filed under the name uncultured bacterium. RNAcentral describes it as "partial 16S ribosomal RNA". It matches the Rfam family "Bacterial small subunit ribosomal RNA", at positions 524 to 776 of the family's 1533-position model. The record is from RNAcentral.